GAUGAACGCUGGCGGCGUGCUUAACACAUGCAAGUCGAACGAUGAAGCCUAGCUUGCUGGGUGGAUUAGUGGCGAACGGGUGAGUAACACGUGAGUAACCUGCCCUUAACUCUGGGAUAAGCCUGGGAAACUGGGUCUAAUACCGGAUAGGAGCGUCCACCGCAUGGUGGGUGUUGGAAAGAUUUAUCGGUUUUGGAUGGACUCGCGGCCUAUCAGCUUGUUGGUGAGGUAAUGGCUCACCAAGGCGACGACGGGUAGCCGGCCUGAGAGGGUGACCGGCCACACUGGGACUGAGACACGGCCCAGACUCCUACGGGAGGCAGCAGUGGGGAAUAUUGCACAAUGGGCGCAAGCCUGAUGCAGCGACGCCGCGUGAGGGAUGACGGCCUUCGGGUUGUAAACCUCUUUCAGUAGGGAAGAAGCGAAAGUGACGGUACCUGCAGAAGAAGCACCGGCUAACUACGUG
Molecule: ribosomal RNA, 466 nt
Filed under: uncultured bacterium
Lineage: Bacteria
Description: partial 16S ribosomal RNA
Rfam family: Bacterial small subunit ribosomal RNA
Source: RNAcentral